Pomacea canaliculata is the source of this 231-nucleotide long non-coding RNA. RefSeq lists it as uncharacterized. The record is from RefSeq and is a predicted model, not a curated record. The transcript is spliced from 3 exons. NCBI's taxonomy places the organism in Eukaryota, Metazoa, Mollusca, Gastropoda, Architaenioglossa, Ampullariidae.
AAAGAGACGACUGGUCACGUGAUCACAGUUGUCAACGCCUCGGACGACGACGAAGGAGUCAAUGCUGAAAUGACCUACAGCUUACAGCCGGACUCAAUGUUGCAGUACUUCUACAUCAAUGAUUCAGGGGCGGUAAUUCUACAAACAUUGUCAACCUUGGAGACGAUGGACCUGCUGGUCAAGGCUUCAGAUGGGGGUUCGCCAUCGUUGUCCGGCUUCUACACACUCAGG